GUUACAGCAAAAUCUGUAAUCGGGCGUGGAAACCUGAAAAUUACUACAGAAGCAUUAAAACCGCUUUAGCGGUUUUUUG
Molecule: non-coding RNA, 79 nt
Organism: Acinetobacter radioresistens SK82
Lineage: Bacteria; Pseudomonadati; Pseudomonadota; Gammaproteobacteria; Moraxellales; Moraxellaceae
Source: Rfam